RNAcentral lists this ribosomal RNA (497 nucleotides) under uncultured bacterium. RNAcentral's name for it is "partial 16S ribosomal RNA". It matches the Rfam family "Bacterial small subunit ribosomal RNA", at positions 28 to 507 of the family's 1533-position model. The record is from RNAcentral.
GAUGAACGCUGGCGGCGUGCCUAAUACAUGCAAGUCGAGCGAACGGACGAGAAGCUUGCUUCUCUGAUGUUAGCGGCGGACGGGUGAGUAACACGUGGAUAACCUACCUAUAAGACUGGGAUAACUUCGGGAAACCGGAGCUAAUACCGGAUAAUAUUUUGAACCGCAUGGUUCAAAAGUGAAAGACGGUCUUGCUGUCACUUAUAGAUGGAUCCGCGCUGCAUUAGCUAGUUGGUAAGGUAACGGCUUACCAAGGCAACGAUGCAUAGCCGACCUGAGAGGGUGAUCGGCCACACUGGAACUGAGACACGGUCCAGACUCCUACGGGAGGCAGCAGUAGGGAAUCUUCCGCAAUGGGCGAAAGCCUGACGGAGCAACGCCGCGUGAGUGAUGAAGGUCUUCGGAUCGUAAAACUCUGUUAUUAGGGAAGAACACAUGUGUAAGUAACUGUGCACAUCUUGACGGUACCUAAUCAGAAAGCCACGGCUAACUACGUG